Molecule: transfer RNA, 84 nt
Organism: Intoshia linei
Lineage: Eukaryota; Metazoa; Orthonectida; Rhopaluridae
Rfam family: tRNA
About the family: Transfer RNA (tRNA) molecules are approximately 80 nucleotides in length. Their secondary structure includes four short double-helical elements and three loops (D, anti-codon, and T loops).
Source: Rfam
GUCAGGAUGGCCGAGCGGUCUAAGGCGGUAGACUCAAGUUCUAUUCCACUCAUGUGGGCGUGGGUUCGAAUCCCACUUCUGACA